This 424-nucleotide ribosomal RNA is filed under the name uncultured Allomuricauda sp. Its description in RNAcentral is "bacterial SSU rRNA". It matches the Rfam family "Bacterial small subunit ribosomal RNA", at positions 355 to 776 of the family's 1533-position model. The record is from RNAcentral. Lineage: Bacteria; Pseudomonadati; Bacteroidota; Flavobacteriia; Flavobacteriales; Flavobacteriaceae.
UGAGGAAUAUUGGACAAUGGUCGGAAGACUGAUCCAGCCAUGCCGCGUGCAGGAUGACGGCCCUAUGGGUUGUAAACUGCUUUUAUACGGGAAGAAACCCGCCUACGUGUAGGCGGCUGACUGUACCGUAAGAAUAAGGACCGGCUAACUCCGUGCCAGCAGCCGCGGUAAUACGGAGGGUCCGAGCGUUAUCCGGAAUCAUUGGGUUUAAAGGGUCCGUAGGCGGGCCUGUAAGUCAGGGGUGAAAGUUUGUGGCUCAACCAUAAAAUUGCCUUUGAUACUGCAGGUCUUGAGUCAUGGUGGGGUUGCCGGAACAUGUGGUGUAGCGGUGAAAUGCAUAGAUAUCACAUAGAACACCGAUCGCGAAGGCAGGUGACCAACCAUGUACUGACGCUGAUGGACGAAAGCGUGGGUAGCGAACGGG